Molecule: long non-coding RNA, 173 nt
Organism: Neodiprion virginianus
Lineage: Eukaryota; Metazoa; Arthropoda; Insecta; Hymenoptera; Diprionidae
Exons: 2
Source: RefSeq, a predicted model, not a curated record
CUCCGUCUGGAAAGCUAAUUCGCAAGGCGUGGUAUUCUAGAUCUAGCGGCACGUGUUUGCAUUAUUAGAAAAAUACCCAUAUUCUACAUACACUGUUUCUAAUCUUUUGCUAAAUUUGGUUUAAUCCCCAUGCUUCCACAGCAGGAAUAGUCAGAAAUGUUUUAGAUUAUCCA